This is a long non-coding RNA of Cephus cinctus (wheat stem sawfly), 814 nucleotides long. RefSeq lists it as uncharacterized. The record is from RefSeq and is a predicted model, not a curated record. The transcript has 3 exons. NCBI's taxonomy places the organism in Eukaryota, Metazoa, Arthropoda, Insecta, Hymenoptera, Cephidae.
UCUAUGGGGAAUAUGUGAUAUUCAUGGCAGUCAGGAUGCCAUCUAUGUUCAAUAUGAAUUGACAAACAGAUGAGUGAGUUUGCGUUUUUUUUUUCAAGGGUGAAGAGACACGAGCUGAUCGAAAUGACAAGUUCAGAGGGUUCUAUGGUACCCCCAUAGAUUCCAGCAUCUGCUCCAUUUAUUCCAUAUUAUUAAACUUGGCCAUUAUUAUUUAAUCCAAGCGUCUUAAUAUCUCUGGGUUGACCAGCCAGCUCUUUGGUAAAAUAUAAUUGGUAAUUGGUAGCAAUUGCUAAGGAUAAUCCUGUUACACAUGUAUCUUGAGCAGCCAAGAGGGUGUACGUCCCAGGGAUAAAAGAAGUGGCUCCCAGCCGAAUGACCAGAGAAGUGAUUUAGCUUCUGAAAUUCUCUGCGCAGAAGCCUGAAGUUCCCUCAGAACUUCACUUCAGGAAUGUUCCAGGCUCAACCAGCUGCAAGUUGAGAACCCAAAACUUACUACGCUCCUGACUGCAUAAACAGCGUUAUAGUUUGACACUCCGCAGCUUCCCACGCAAGUCCCAACGCCCAGUGGGUCCGCCGAAAAAUAUUUUCUCUGGGCCCAAAGGACAAUCGCAUAGAUUUCUCACUAGACAAACGUACAAAGCCAAAAUUUCUGACAAACGAAUCCCUUUUCCAAGAGCGAAGGACGCUAAUCGUACAAGCGUUCGAGUCGACAGAUUUCAAGUACAGAGUAAACAGAGUCCCAAUUCAGGGCGAUAAAAUAAAAAAAAAAGAUUCAGGAUGAUCAAGAGACAGCGGUCCUAGUGAAAAAAAAAAA